AUUGAACGCUGGCGGAAUGCUUUACACAUGCAAGUCGAACGGUAGAGGGGGCAACCCCUCGAGAGUGGCGAACGGGUGAGUAAUAUAUCGGAACGUGCCCAGUCGUGGGGGAUAACGUAGCGAAAGUUACGCUAAUACCGCAUACGAUCUAAGGAUGAAAGCGGGGGAUCGCAAGACCUCGCGCGAUUGGAGCGGCCGAUAUCAGAGUAGGUAGUUGGUGGGGUAAAGGCUCACCAAGCCAACGAUCGGUAGCUGGUCUGAGAGGACGACCAGCCACACUGGAACUGAGACACGGUCCAGACUCCUACGGGAGGCAGCAGUGGGGAAUUUUGGACAAUGGACGCAAGUCUGAUCCAGCAUUCCGCGUGCAGGAUGAAGGCCCUCGGGUUGUAAACUGCUUUUGUACGGAACGAAAAGGUCUCUCUUAAUACGGGGGACUCAUGACGGUACCGUAAGAAUAAGCACCGGCUAACUACGUGCCAGCCGCCGCAGUAA
This 495-nucleotide ribosomal RNA is filed under the name uncultured bacterium. RNAcentral's name for it is "partial 16S ribosomal RNA". It matches the Rfam family "Bacterial small subunit ribosomal RNA", at positions 30 to 523 of the family's 1533-position model. The record is from RNAcentral.